GACGAACGCUGGCGACGCGCUUAACACAUGCAAGUCGAACGGAAAGGCCUGCUUUCCCUUGUGGAUUGCGGGUACUCGAGUGGCGAACGGGUGAGUAACACGUGAGUGAUCUGCCCCCAACUUGGGUAUAAGCCUGGGAAACUGGGUCUAAUUCCCGAUAGGACUGCAGGGUGGUGCCUGUGGUGGAAAACGAUUUUCUAGUGGUUGGGGAUGAGCUCGCGGCCUAUCAGCUUGUUGGUGGGGUAAUGGCCUACCAAGGCGGCGACGGGUAGCCGGCCUGAGAGGGUGGACGGCGACAUUGGGACUGAGAUACGGCCCAGACGCCUACGGGAGGCAGCAGUGGGGAAUAUUGCACAGUGGGCGGAAGCCUGAUGCAGCGACGCCGCGUGGGGGAUGACGGCCUUCGGGUUGUAAACUCCUUUCGGCCGCGAGGAAGCCACCUGGUUGGAAGGGUGGUGACGGUAGUGGUAGAAGAAGCACCGGCUAACUACGUG
Molecule: ribosomal RNA, 494 nt
Filed under: uncultured bacterium
Lineage: Bacteria
Description: partial 16S ribosomal RNA
Rfam family: Bacterial small subunit ribosomal RNA
Source: RNAcentral